This 253-nucleotide ribosomal RNA is filed under the name uncultured bacterium. Its description in RNAcentral is "partial 16S ribosomal RNA". It matches the Rfam family "Bacterial small subunit ribosomal RNA", at positions 524 to 776 of the family's 1533-position model. The record is from RNAcentral.
UACAGUGGUGGCAAGCGUUGUUCGGAAUUACUGGGCGUAAAGGGCGCGUAGGCGGUUCGUCAAGUCCUGUGUGAAAUCCCCCGGCUCAACUGGGGAACUGCACAGGAAACUAGCGGGCUUGAGUUCGGGAGAGGGAAGCGGAAUUCCGGGUGUAGCGGUGAAAUGCGUAGAUAUCCGGAGGAACACCGGUGGCGAAGGCGGCUUCCUGGACCGACACUGACGCUGAGGCGCGAAAGCUAGGGGAGCAAACGGG